CCCUUAGAUGUUCUGGGCCGCACGCGCGCUACACUGAUGCAAUCAGCAAGUUCUUUACCUUGGCCGAAAGGUCUGGGUAAUCUUGUGAAAUUGUAUCGUGUUAGGGCUUAAGAAUUGUAACUAUUUCUUAUAAACGAGGAAUGCCUAGUAAGCGCAAGUCAUCAACUUGCGUUGAUCACGUCCCUGCCCUUUGUACACACCGCCCGUCGCUACUACCGAUUGAAUGGUUUAGUGAGGCCUUCGGAUCCGCGACUCGUUUGUGGAGAAGUUGGACAAACUCAGUCAUUUAGAGGAAGUAAAAGUCGUAACA
Molecule: ribosomal RNA, 310 nt
Filed under: uncultured eukaryote
Lineage: Eukaryota
Description: partial 18S ribosomal RNA
Rfam family: Eukaryotic small subunit ribosomal RNA
Source: RNAcentral